CCCCUAGCCUUCCAAGCUAACGAUGCGGGUUCGAUUCCCGC
This 41-nucleotide transfer RNA is filed under the name Oryza sativa (Asian cultivated rice). Its description in RNAcentral is "partial tRNA-Gly". The record is from RNAcentral. RNAcentral also lists the same sequence under 4 other names. Lineage: Eukaryota; Viridiplantae; Streptophyta; Magnoliopsida; Poales; Poaceae.